CAGUAGCCGCGGUAAUACGAAGGGGGCUAGCGUUGUUCGGAAUUACUGGGCGUAAAGCGCGCGCAGGCGGUUCUCCAAGUCAGUGGUGAAAGCCCGGAGCUCAACUCCGGAACUGCCAUUGAAACUGUUGAACUUGAGGACGAGAGAGGUGAGUGGAAUUCCCAGUGUAGAGGUGAAAUUCGUAGAUAUUGGGAAGAACACCGGUGGCGAAGGCGGCUCACUGGCUCGUAUCUGACGCUCAGGCGCGAUAGCGUGGGGAUCAAACAGGAUUAGAUACCCCGGUAGUCCCUGUCUCUUAUAC
RNAcentral lists this ribosomal RNA (301 nucleotides) under uncultured bacterium. Its description in RNAcentral is "partial 16S ribosomal RNA". It matches the Rfam family "Bacterial small subunit ribosomal RNA", at positions 509 to 807 of the family's 1533-position model. The record is from RNAcentral.